UACGUAGGGUGCGAGCGUUAUUCGGAUUUACUGGGCGUAAAGCGCAUGUAGGCGGCUUGUUAAGUCUGAUGUGAAAUCCCUGGACUCAAUCCAGGAACUGCAUUGGAUACUGGCAGGCUUGAGUAUGGGAGAGGUGAGCGGAAUUCCAGGUGUAGAGGUGAAAUUCGUAGAUAUCUGGAGGAACAACAGAAGCGAAAGCGGCUCACUGGACCAUUACUGACGCUGAGAUGCGAAAGCGUGGGGAGCAAACAGG
RNAcentral lists this ribosomal RNA (253 nucleotides) under uncultured bacterium. Its description in RNAcentral is "partial 16S ribosomal RNA". It matches the Rfam family "Bacterial small subunit ribosomal RNA", at positions 524 to 776 of the family's 1533-position model. The record is from RNAcentral.